GGCUAACGUUGAUUAUGGUUGAUUUGUUUCUAAAAAUGGUGAUUUUGAAAGUUAUAACCAAACAAACAUGAGGAAAGAGCAAAGCCGUCUCCUAAACACUGACAUGCACAAGGUUCCAAAAAGAGUGAGAAAUUUCUUUGAUGUUUCCCUAUUACAAUGUCACAUUUAUCAAGUUUCGUUUCUACUCACCAUUGGCUGCAUUUUGGUUAGGUAAUGAUUUCACCAUGUCUCAUUCAGUAGCUUUAGUAAUAUAUUUCUGUAUCUGUUCCCCAUUCCAACCGGAUUUCACUGUGGAUUCAACAUUACAUUAUUUGUGUGGCAGGCAGGCAUGCCAGUUCUCGGACCAUGAUUGUUGGGUAAUACAACUGCUGGCUGCCAC
This 379-nucleotide long non-coding RNA is filed under the name Gossypium barbadense (sea-island cotton). RNAcentral's name for it is "long non-coding RNA (GBAR_LNC008946)". Lineage: Eukaryota; Viridiplantae; Streptophyta; Magnoliopsida; Malvales; Malvaceae. The record is from RNAcentral.